GUGGGGAAUUUUGGACAAUGGGGGCAACCCUGAUCCAGCCAUGCCGCGUGCGGGAAGAAGGCCUUCGGGUUGUAAACCGCUUUUGUCAGGGAAGAAAUCCUUUGGGUUAAUACCUCGGAGGGAUGACGGUACCUGAAGAAUAAGCACCGGCUAACUACGUGCCAGCAGCCGCGGUAAUACGUAGGGUGCGAGCGUUAAUCGGAAUUACUGGGCGUAAAGCGUGCGCAGGCGGUUUUGUAAGAUCGAUGUGAAAUCCCCGGGCUCAACCUGGGAACUGCAUUGGUGACUGCAAGGCUGGAGUGCGGCAGAGGGGGAUGGAAUCCCGCGUGUAGCAGUGAAAUGCGUAGAUAUGCGGAGGAACACCGAUGGCGAAGGCAAUCCCCUGGGCCUGCACUGACGCUCAUGCACGAAAGCGUGGGGAGCAAACAGGAUUAGAAACCCCAGUAGUCC
RNAcentral lists this ribosomal RNA (450 nucleotides) under uncultured bacterium. Its description in RNAcentral is "partial 16S ribosomal RNA". It matches the Rfam family "Bacterial small subunit ribosomal RNA", at positions 354 to 796 of the family's 1533-position model. The record is from RNAcentral.